AUACGGAGGGUGCAAGCGUUACUCGGAAUCACUGGGCGUAAAGCGCGCGCAGGCGGCUAUUUAAGUUGGAUGUGAAAGCCUAUGGCUCAACCAUAGAACUGCAUCCAAAACUAUUUAGCUAGAGUGUGGGAGAGGAAGAUGGAAUUAGUUGUGUAGGAGUAAAAUCCGUAGAGAUAACUAGGAAUACCAAAAGCGAAGGCAAUCUUCUGGAACACUACUGACGCUGAGGCGCGAAAGCGUGGGGAGCAAACAGGAUUAGAAACCCUAGUAGUCC
RNAcentral lists this ribosomal RNA (274 nucleotides) under uncultured bacterium. RNAcentral describes it as "partial 16S ribosomal RNA". It matches the Rfam family "Bacterial small subunit ribosomal RNA", at positions 523 to 796 of the family's 1533-position model. The record is from RNAcentral.